Molecule: long non-coding RNA, 1485 nt
Organism: Neodiprion fabricii
Lineage: Eukaryota; Metazoa; Arthropoda; Insecta; Hymenoptera; Diprionidae
Exons: 4
Source: RefSeq, a predicted model, not a curated record
UUCCUCACCGAAACCGUUCGGCAAUCUCGUCGAGGUUGAAAAUCUCCAAGUCGACUGGAGCUAUUUCAAUCGAUUGCAAAUCGCUGCACAACGGUCGUAGAAAUUCGAGGGUCAGGGUGUAGCAAGACGGCGCUGGUGGACGUUCCUAUAAAUAAUACCAACCAUAAAAUCGAACUCGAGAGAAACAGUCCUUGGAAUAUAAGGCUAGACGCGGUACCUUCCCCACAAAAUCGUUUCGCUAUCUAGGAAGUCGAACGGCUCAACGAGCAUCGACUAUUCGACGUCUGUCAUAGUAUAGGCAUGUAUGUACGUCGUCCAUGUGUCGAAGCGUGUCCGCAUGGUCAAAACAAUCCACUACAAUUCGACAUCCGGAUCUUAGGGGCAACGGGAAAGGCUUGCUGCAGUGGAAUCCCACCUCAAGGACUAAUCGACCGACACCUGUCAGCCGAUCGAAUGUCCUGGGGCCCAACGGUUCGCGCCCAACAAUCACCGACGGAUAUAAACCCGAUUGUGCAACGACGAUGACCUUCCGUCGACCCGUCAUCGCGUGCACAUCGUAACCUCGUAUCUGGGCUCGUAAACACCUUCCAAGGAGGAAUAUAACCGGAGUUAUGCAAUGGCUUUUGGCAGUCGAAGUUCCUUGCAAAAUUUAACAAUUAUUCCGGCCGGGGAAAGUUACGACCGUGGUUAUUCAGGAAUCCGUCGGAGCUGGAUCAACCGCGAUAGUACCGAGGCAUCAUCCAGGAAUCGACACUUGGCGAACGAUACGCCGAGUAACUCGUCUCUUGGUAAACACUUGACAGAUUGAUUUCCCGCUUGGCGAUGCUGGGACCGGCCGCACUGUGAUUUUCCACUUAUCGGCAACCUCGUGGUGUGCGCGAUACGUACGUUGUUUCAGGACCCAGACAAGCGGAUGAUAAUCCUUGGACCUGAAGACUUUAGUGACAAACCAUCCUCCAGGUCUGAGAAAUUGUGUGGCAACUUUAAGAGCCGACAGAGUCAAGCAGGUUUGCUGAUAGGCAUCGUGCAGCCAAUUUUUACCAACAUUUGGGGCUCCGUCGUUGAGAACAACGUCAGCCUUCCACGUUUUCAACUCUCGGGAGAUGGCGACACGACAUUUGUCCGUUGUAAUGUCUUCGGUAAUGCUGAUACAGCCGGGUAUCGGUUUUAUCGGAAAUAGAUCUAUGCCGAUGACGAUUGACGACACGGGCAUGUUCUGCCGGGCGACUUGCAUCCAACCACCCGGAGCAGCGCAGAGAUCUAUGCAUACUCUAGACUUUUGCAAGAAUUCGAAUUUACGAUUGAGUUGGAUCAACUUGAACGCCGCACGAGAUCUGAAACCUGGGUUAUGGAGCACAAGAGGUUAUGUUAAUCGUUAACGUGCGCUAGUGCUGGACGCUUGCGACAGCCGACGAUACUCAGCGAUGGGGUCUUGUGAGUUUCGAAUAAGCGUAACUUGCCAACACAUGAUAUAUCAAAGCGCGG